CAGUCGACGGUAACAGCAUCUUCGGAUGCUGACGAGUGGCGAACGGGUGAGUAAUACAUCGGAACGUGCCUAGUAGUGGGGGAUAACUACUCGAAAGAGUGGCUAAUACCGCAUGAGAUCUACGGAUGAAAGCAGGGGAUCGCAAGACCUUGUGCUACUAGAGCGGCCGAUGGCAGAUUAGGUAGUUGGUGGGAUAAAAGCUUACCAAGCCGACGAUCUGUAGCUGGUCUGAGAGGACGAUCAGCCACACUGGGACUGAGACACGGCCCAGACUCCUACGGGAGGCAGCAGUGGGGAAUUUUGGACAAUGGGCGCAAGCCUGAUCCAGCAAUGCCGCGUGCAGGAUGAAGGCCUUCGGGUUGUAAACUGCUUUUGUACGGAACGAAAAGCCCUGGGUUAAUACCCUGGGGUCAUGACGGUACCGUAAGAAUAAGCACCGGCUAACUACGUGCCAGCAGCCGCGGUAAUACGUAGGGUGCAAGCGUUAAUCGGAAUUACUGGGCGUAAAGCGUGCGCAGGCGGUUUUGUAAGACAGAGGUGAAAUCCCCGGGCUCAACCUGGGAACUGCCUUUGUGACUGCAAGGCUAGAGUACGGCAGAGGGGGAUGGAAUUCCGCGUGUAGCAGUGAAAUGCGUAUAUAUGCGGAGGAACACCGAUGGCGAAGGCAAUCCCCUGGGCCUGUACUGACGCUCAUGCA
This 697-nucleotide ribosomal RNA is filed under the name Comamonas aquatica. Its description in RNAcentral is "bacterial SSU rRNA". It matches the Rfam family "Bacterial small subunit ribosomal RNA", at positions 59 to 753 of the family's 1533-position model. Lineage: Bacteria; Pseudomonadati; Pseudomonadota; Betaproteobacteria; Burkholderiales; Comamonadaceae. The record is from RNAcentral.